GAGUUUGAUCAUGGCUCAGAUUGAACGCUGGCGGCAGGCCUAACACAUGCAAGUCGAGCGGAUGACGGGAGCUUGCUCCUUGAUUCAGCGGCGGACGGGUGAGUAAUGCCUGGGAAUCUGCCUGGUAGUGGGGGACAACGUUUCGAAAGGAACGCUAAUACCGCAUACGUCCUACGGGAGAAAGCAGGGGACCUUCGGGCCUUGCGCUAUCAGAUGAGCCUAGGUCGGAUUAGCUAGUU
RNAcentral lists this ribosomal RNA (239 nucleotides) under bacterium enrichment culture clone ALO1_GLFRUDD03G4VQ9. Its description in RNAcentral is "partial 16S ribosomal RNA". It matches the Rfam family "Bacterial small subunit ribosomal RNA", at positions 9 to 250 of the family's 1533-position model. The record is from RNAcentral.